AUUCCCAUUCAAAGUGUAGUAUCUGUUCUUAUCAGCUUAACAUCUGAAAGCUCUCCCAUAGGGAGACAACAAAUGUUGAACUGAUUUUUGGAAAAGGGCGGAACGGUCAGGGGCUUGCACCACUUCCGUCACGGGUUGGCCCGGUAUUGCAGUACCGCCGGGAUCGGCCCACCUUUU
Aedes aegypti (yellow fever mosquito) is the source of this 177-nucleotide non-coding RNA. The record is from Rfam. NCBI's taxonomy places the organism in Eukaryota, Metazoa, Arthropoda, Insecta, Diptera, Culicidae.